Molecule: transfer RNA, 73 nt
Filed under: Acropora cervicornis
Lineage: Eukaryota; Metazoa; Cnidaria; Anthozoa; Scleractinia; Acroporidae
Description: tRNA-Thr
Rfam family: tRNA
About the family: Transfer RNA (tRNA) molecules are approximately 80 nucleotides in length. Their secondary structure includes four short double-helical elements and three loops (D, anti-codon, and T loops).
Source: RNAcentral
GGCUUCACAGCUCAGUUGGUUGAGCAUCGCACUGGUAUUGCAGAGCUCACGGGUUUGAAUCCCGUUGAAGCCC